This 481-nucleotide ribosomal RNA is filed under the name uncultured bacterium. RNAcentral describes it as "partial 16S ribosomal RNA". It matches the Rfam family "Bacterial small subunit ribosomal RNA", at positions 28 to 507 of the family's 1533-position model. The record is from RNAcentral.
GACGAACGUUGGCGGCGUGCUUAAUACAUGCAAGUCAACUGAAGCAGUGGUAGCAAUAUCGCUGUGGAGGUGGCGCACGGGUGAGUAACACGUAGGUAAUCUGCCUUCAGGUCUGGCAUAACUCCGGGAAACCGGGGCUAAUAGCAGAUGAUGCAGCGGCUCGACAUCGAGACAGUUGUUAAAGCUAUGGCGCCUGAAGAUGAGCCUGCGUCUGAUUGGCUAGUUGGCGGGGUAACGGCCCACCAAGGCAACGAUCAGUAGCUGGUCUGAGAGGAUGAUCAGCCGCACUGGAACUGAGACACGGUCCAGACUCCUACGGGAGGCAGCAGUAAGGAAUAUUGCUCAAUGGGAGAAAUCCUGAAGCAGCAACGCCGCGUGAGGGACGAAGGGCUUUUGCUUGUAAACCUCUGUAGUGAGAGAAAAAAAUCCCAAUCUUUGGGACAUGAUGGUAUCUCAAAAGUAAGCCCCGGCUAACUACGUG